GACGAACGCUGGCGGCGUGCUUAACACACGCAAGUCGAGCGGUAAGGCCCUUUCGGGGGUACACGAGCGGCGAACGGGUGAGUAACACGUGGGUGACCUGCCCUCAGCUCUGGGAUAAGCCUGGGAAACCGGGUCUAAUACCGGAUAUGACUCCAUGACGCAUGUUGUGGGGUGGAAAGCCUUGUGCGGCUGAGGAUGGGCCCGCGGCCUAUCAGCUUGUUGGUGGGGUGANGGCCUACCAAGGCGACGACGGGUAGCCGGCCUGAGAGGGCGACCGGCCACACUGGGACUGAGACACGGCCCAGACUCCUACGGGAGGCAGCAGUGGGGAAUCUUGCGCAAUGGGCGAAAGCCUGACGCAGCGACGCCGCGUGAGGGAUGACGGCCUCGGUUGUAACGUACUUACUACG
Molecule: ribosomal RNA, 410 nt
Filed under: uncultured bacterium
Lineage: Bacteria
Description: bacterial SSU rRNA
Rfam family: Bacterial small subunit ribosomal RNA
Source: RNAcentral